Potamilus streckersoni is the source of this 73-nucleotide non-coding RNA. The record is from the annotation of a GenBank genome assembly. NCBI's taxonomy places the organism in Eukaryota, Metazoa, Mollusca, Bivalvia, Unionida, Unionidae.
GCUCCGGUGGCCUAGUGGUUAAAGCUUCCGCAUCGGAUGCCGAAGGUCAUGGGUUCGAUCACCGGUCGAGUCA